UUUUGAGCAGCAAGUCCCAAGAUCAAGAAAUCAGAAGGAACUAAUACUUUAACUAAUUAGUAGUAAUGAAAAUUUACUAGACAUCAAUGACAAAUUUACAAGGCAAAUUUAUUUCCAAAGUACAUUCAUAUAUAUCACAGUCUUUGCUACAGCAGUGUGUUCCUCUCAAGUCACCCACUCGUUCCUCCAGGGGUCAUUGGAGAGUUAUUAUUUUAAGUCUAGUUCCCAGGUAUGACUUCCAAUGCAGUGAAAGCUUCUACUGAGACUGUCUAAAACAUCUCUUGAAUCAUCUGCCUAGAACACAGCAAGAACCAGGAAAUGAGCUGACAAGACUGAGCAAAAGAGGCAGCAUCAAGCUGAUGAACUGAGGCGUGGGCAUUUUACUCAUGGGAAAGGCCCUCGGAACCCACGCUGAGCAUGCGCUGAAAACAAGUGUGAUCAGUGGGUUCCAAACACCCAGCAGAUACAUGUGAGGGUGAUCUGGCUGUGACUUCUGUCACCCCCUUGAUUACCAGGGUUGAUUCAGUUGAUCUGGCUGGCUAGGUGGGUGUCCCUUUCCCCACUUACUGCUCCAUGUGUGUCCCUCCUGAAUCUGUGCGCUUGGUUGAAGAGGAUGACCAUCCCGGAUAGAGGAGGACCAGUCUUUGGUCAAGGGUAUACAAGUAGCUGUGCCCGCUUGCUAGAACCUCCAAACAAGCUCUCAAGGUCCAAACAUCCAGCAGAUAAUUAGCAAUGGAUUAGAAAAGGGAGCUGGGAAGGUGGAAGGAAGCAGAAACAGUGAGCCCCCGAAUGAAAGAGACAGAAAAACUGAAACCUCAGAAGAGAGCAGUGUGGGGCUAAUGAACCUAGAGGCAAAGGGCCCUACCCAUCAACAGCCCCCAUGAAGGUAGUCACUGGGGGGCCUGAGGAUGCACCAUCAGGGAGAAGUUCAGUUCAAUGUAAUCUGUGGAAGAAAGCAGAGAGCACAGCCUGUCAUGGAGAAGGAUUUCCAUUCAAAACCAUAGAUGUCAUAGAAGUUUCGAUGCUUAAAAGACCUGUGAUUGUCUAGAAAGCUUGGCUUUUCCCAAAGGAUUCUGUGAGGCUGAAGUGUUACCAGGUGAUUAAGGGUCUCACCCUGUCACCCAGGCUAGAGUGCAGUGACACAAUGAUAGCUUAUUGUAACCUCAAACUCCCGGGCUCAAGGGAUCCUCCUGCUUCAGCCUCCCAAGUAGCUAGGAUUACAGGUGAAGAGAAAUGAAGCUAACAUGUUGAAAUGAGUGGCCCCAAGGAUUACCAGAAAAGAAGUUAAUGUUCAGAAAGAGAAAAUAAAAGUUCUCUGUAUUUUAUUCCCCUCAGAGAUAACAAAAGUUGACAUUUUGUUGUAUUUUUCUCUAAGCUUUUUUUUUCCUUUGCUAUAAAUGCAAAAGGCAUCACAAUAUUUGGUAAACAUUUUCCUCUUAUUCAGUAGUUUCUGAAAACAUGAUGUUAAAUAGUUGUGUAACAUUCUCUCAUGCAGAUGUCCCAUAGUUCAUAGUUCAUUUAACUUCUCUUUUCCUGUGGGGUAUUUGAGCUGCUUCCUAUUUGCCUGUGUAAAGAAUCCUGUGAGAAACAUGUUUGCCCCUUCCCUUCCCUUCCCUUCCCUUCCCUUCCCUUCCCUUCCCUUCCCUUCCCUUCCCCUCCCCUCCCCUCCCUUCCCUUCCCCUCCCCUCCCCUCCCUUCUCCUUCCCUUCCCCUUUCCCUUCCCUUCCCCUUCCCUUCCCUCCUUUCUCUCUCUCUCUCGCUGUCUUACACACUCUCUCUCUUUCUCUCUUUCUUUCUUUCCUUUCUUUCUCUUUCUUCUCUUGCUGUGUCACCCAAGCUGGAGUGCAGUGAUCAUAGCUCACUGCAGCCUUGAACUCUGGCAAAUUAAACAAACAUUUUUUGUAGAGAUAGGUUCUCACUAUGUUGCCCAGGCUGAUCUUGAACUCCUAGCCCCAACUGAUCCUUCUGCCUUGGCCUCCCAAAGUGCUGGGAUUAUACUCAUGAACCACUGCAGCCAGCCUGCAUCACAUCUUUAUAGGCAGAGAGGCCUGAUUUGUCCAGAGAUUGUUGGGCAGUCUAGAGAGGCAGAAAGCUACUAUCAUUAUCGUGGUGAUCUAAAAAUCACCUAAAUGUGCAAAAAGCUCUUCUAAGUGUGGGGCACAAAGAUGGAAAACACAUAUUUUUGACUAUAAAGAGUUAGCAAUUUAGUUACUACUUAGGAGGCAAAGUCUACAUGAAAGAUAAUAAUUAAUACAAGGCAAUAACUAGCCCCAAGGCAUGAAAUGUGGACCAGCACAUGUUGUACAGAGACUUGACACUAAAAACUGUUGAUUUAUUUUUAUUUGCAAGAGCUGAGAGUUUGGGCCACUGAUGAUGUGUGAUCCAAAGUGUGGUGUGGAUUUAUAAUAAAACAGAACUGGUUUCAAC
This 2427-nucleotide long non-coding RNA is filed under the name Homo sapiens (human). Its description in RNAcentral is "long independently transcribed non-coding RNA 2198 (LINC02198)". The stretch from base 466 to 780 matches the Rfam family "7SK RNA". The record is from RNAcentral. Lineage: Eukaryota; Metazoa; Chordata; Mammalia; Primates; Hominidae.